This 253-nucleotide ribosomal RNA is filed under the name uncultured bacterium. Its description in RNAcentral is "partial 16S ribosomal RNA". It matches the Rfam family "Bacterial small subunit ribosomal RNA", at positions 524 to 776 of the family's 1533-position model. The record is from RNAcentral.
UACGUAGGGUGCGAGCGUUAAUCGGAAUUACUGGGCGUAAAGCGUGCGCAGGCGGUUUUGUAAGACAGAUGUGAAAUCCCCGGGCUUAACCUGGGAACUGCAUUUGUGACUGCAAGGCUAGAGUACGGCAGAGGGGGGUAGAAUUCCACGUGUAGCAGUGAAAUGCGUAGAUAUGUGGAGGAAUACCGAUGGCGAAGGCAGCUCCCUGGGUCGAUACUGACGCUCAUGCACGAAAGCGUGGGGAGCAAACAGG